Long non-coding RNA from Dendroctonus ponderosae (mountain pine beetle), 2341 nucleotides. RefSeq lists it as uncharacterized. NCBI's taxonomy places the organism in Eukaryota, Metazoa, Arthropoda, Insecta, Coleoptera, Curculionidae. The record is from RefSeq and is a predicted model, not a curated record. The transcript has 2 exons.
CGUACGCGGACAAUACAACCCUCUGCUUCUUGGAGUAUCUGGGCAUAGAUAAUGACAUAGAUGGAGACAAGUGUGAGUGAGCCACCAUGAGACUAAAAAGUAAAAGUGGCUUUUUCUCUAAACACGACGUUAAUGUCCAGAAAAGUUGAUUAGCUGAUCGGAAUGAAAUUUUCUUUACCAAAAGCAUCCUUGUAGGAAUUUAAUAUGUACCCACUAUCUGUCAUAAUUUACCAAACAUGUAACCAUAGCAACGGGGGGAUAACAACACAAGACGUCAAGACGAAACGACACUAAUUUCAAGAACGCCGCGUAAAUUCAUUUUAAAGAACCCCAUUUAGUCAAAAGAGUCAGUAUAUGUACUUCUCUGCAAGGCGAAAAGACGCCAGCCGCACUUGUAGUGUCGGUUAAUCACCCUUAGGCCAUUAGCAACAUCCUACAUCGUCUUUGCCCUAGGAACUGUGAGUGUAGCCGCCAGUUUAUGAACAACCGCACGCAGAGAAACAAGAAUUCCAGACCCCUGUGUCACUUCGGGGAAAAGACAUAAUGAGACGAUUUUGCGAAUUUGGUUGCAGGGUUCCAUCGCAGAGCCGUUCCAAGAAUGAGAUCCGAUAAGAUCCACCUAUUAAUUUGUGAUAUACAAGUUUGAUGACGGCCACGAUUACAAUAAUGAUUAUAAUUGGUAGUGGAUCGCAGAUAUAAGCUGAUUGCUAUGUCGGAUCAAGCCGCUGCUGACUAACCAACAGAGACGUUCCGAAGAAAUGAGCAAAAAUGCAAAACAUCGGCAAAUUUCUGUGGAAAUGUGAAAGUGUGCUUGCAUAGCAAUAAAUACCGAGUGUCUAUCUGUUUUCAACAGAUUUUUCAACAGUUUCACAGUUUUCAAUCGCAAUUUUUUUAAUAACUCGCGACGAUUAAUUAAACUCGCAGAAUCGCGCGUUAGAACAAUUGCGAACAAUUCCAUAAAAAAGUGGAAACUAUGAAAGUUGCUACACAAAUAGUACAAAGUUUUUUCUAUUCAAUAGUUCAAUCCAGUUUUCAGUCCACUUUGAAUUUUGAAAAUAUUGUGACACUAUAGUGGAAAAAUGACGCGAAAAAAGCUGCGAAAAAAGGGAAAAAAUACGCAAAUUUCCACACUUGUAGAGGAACAAUUCAUCUAUUGAAUAGGUUGAGACACUCUUGCAUUUUAUCAUUGACCUUGACCUGAAGUACAGCCCUCAUAGCGAUCGGCUUGCUUUUUGAAAGCAAUUUUACCGAAUUCGCUGUCGUAAUUUCUAUAAGCCUUUAUGUAAUAAAAUCAUUGUUGAUAACAACUGUGCUAUUCCACGAAAGUGCGCUAAAACAAUGCCAUAUGAUCGUACACCGGUUCCUGGAAGUGCUCGUCUGUAGAACAUUUGAUUAAUCCUUAUCCUAACAUUGUGAGCCCAAUAAACUUACAUCAUGUGAAACGAGACCUGUGGAAUCAGGAAUGCUUUGAUGUGCUUUAACUUAUGAAACUGAAGCAUUUACCAAAUACCAUUGGUUUAUUAAUUGAAUAUUGUUCAGGGCUUCUCCCAUAGCUGUAUUAUCAUCGGCAGUUGUAGUUCACCCAGCAUACUUUUCAGGGUUUAACUUAUAGAGUUUUUAUUUUUUCCUCCAAGUUCAAAACAUGAAUUGGUUUUUUUUUCUGAAUAUUAACUCUUGGCGACCAAAAUUCACGUUUUGUCUAUGGGCUAAAGGAACCCCUCCUUUUUCUUAGGCGAAUUAUAAAAAGACCGUUGCAACACUCAUCCUAAUAUUGAAAUUAAUACAAUAUCAACAAAUAUCAGGCAAGACAGUCAACGCAAACAAUAGAGUAUAGAUUCGUAUCAGAUUGGUCAGCCGUCGACCACGUUUCGAAGAAGUGAUUUAAAAGAGGCGUCCCAUUUUUCGAGAAAACUGUGCUUCGUAGAAUGUGGGACCGGUCUUCUUAGUGCUCUUUUUUCUUUGUAGCUUGAGGCCGAGCCCGGGCCGACCCUCAAAUCGCAAUGUAUAAGAGAAUGAUUAAGCACAGUUUUCUGGGAAAUGCCAACAGCGAAAAGUCUGCUGGAAGAAAACCUUCUACAUAAUGUGCAUCAGGUUCGUUAUUGUUUUAUUGCAUAUUCGAGCUAAUUUGUUUUUUGAAUAUGAAACGUUUGAAAAUAUUCAAUGACAAACUUAACCACAAUUCUUCAUUUCAAACUUUAACUAACGUCCAUCGUGUUCAAUGGAUUUCAUUGAAUUUUAAAGCUUUGUCAUCCCUCUAUCGACCUGCAGACCAGUACAUAAAAACAUGGACAAGUCGAAAAUUGUCGAACAUUUUUUCGAUUCAUUGGUCUGGCUAAAAUCG